AACGAACGCUGGCGGCAGGCCUAACACAUGCAAGUCGAGCGCGUAGCAAUACGAGCGGCGCACGGGAUAGUAACGCGUGGGAACCUACCUUUCGGUUCGGAAUAACAUCGGGAAACUGGUGCUAAUACCGGAUACGCCCUUCGGGGGAAAGAUUUAUUGCCGAUAGAUGGGCCCGCGUUGGAUUAGCUAGUUGGUGAGGUAACGGCUCACCAAGGCAACGACCCAUAGCUGGUCUGAGAGGAUGAUCAGCAUCACUGGGACUGAGACACGGCCCAGACUCCUACGGGAGGCAGCAGUGGGGAAUAUUGGACAAUGGGGGCAACCCUGAUCCAGCCAUGCCGCGUGAAUGAUGAAGGCCUUCGGGUUGUAAAGUUCUUUUGGUGGGGACGAUGAUGACGGUACCCACAGAAUAAGCUCCGGCUAACUUCGUGCCAGCAGCCGCAGUAA
Molecule: ribosomal RNA, 447 nt
Filed under: uncultured bacterium
Lineage: Bacteria
Description: partial 16S ribosomal RNA
Rfam family: Bacterial small subunit ribosomal RNA
Source: RNAcentral